AAUCGAAGCCCCAGUAAACGGCGGCCGUAACUAUAACGGUCCUAAGGUAGCGAAAUUCCUUGUCGGGUAAGUUCCGACCCGCACGAAAGGCGUAACGAUUUGGGCACUGUCUCAACGAGAGACUCGGUGAAAUCAUAGUACCUGUGAAGAUGCAGGUUACCCGCGACAGGACGGAAAGACCCCGUGGAGCUUUACUGUAGCCUGAUAUUGAAAUUCGGCACAGCUUGUACAGGAUAGGUAGGAGCCU
Molecule: ribosomal RNA, 247 nt
Filed under: Staphylococcus haemolyticus
Lineage: Bacteria; Bacillati; Bacillota; Bacilli; Caryophanales; Staphylococcaceae
Description: partial 23S ribosomal RNA
Rfam family: Bacterial large subunit ribosomal RNA
Source: RNAcentral